CUGGAGGUAUCAGAAGUGCGAAUGCUGACAUAAGUAACGAUAAAGCGGGUGAAAAGCCCGCUCGCCGGAAGACCAAGGGUUCCUGUCCAACGUUAAUCGGGGCAGGGUGAGUCGACCCCUAAGGCGAGGCCGAAAGGCGUAGUCGAUGGGAAACGGGUUAAUAUUCCCGUACUUGGUGUUACUGCGAAGGGGGGACGGAGAAGGCUAUGUUGGCCGGGCGACGGUUGUCCCGGUUUAAGCGUGUAGGUGUGUGUUCCAGGUAAAUCCGGUUCACUUUAACACUGAGGCGUGAUGACGAGGCACUACGGUGCUGAAGCAACAAAUGCCCUGCUUCCAGGAAAAGCCUCUAAGCAUCAGGUAACAUCAAAUCGUACCCCAAACCGACACAGGUGGUCAGGUAGAGAAUACCAAGGCGCUUGAGAGAACUCGGGUGAAGGAACUAGGCAAAAUGGUGCCGUAACUUCGGGAGAAGGCACGCUGACACGUAGGUGAAGUGAUUUACUCAUGGAGCUGAAGUCAGUCGAAGAUACCAGCUGGCUGCAACUGUUUAUUAAAAACACAGCACUGUGCAAACACGAAAGUGGACGUAUACGGUGUGACGCCUGCCCGGUGCCGGAAGGUUAAUUGAUGGGGUCAGCGCAAGCGAAGCUCCUGAUCGAAGCCCCGGUAAACGGCGGCCGUAACUAUAACGGUCCUAAGGUAGCGAAAUUCCUUGUCGGGUAAGUUCCGACCUGCACGAAUGGCGUAAUGAUGGCCAGGCUGUCUCCACCCGAGACUCAGUGAAAUUGAACUCGCUGUGAAGAUGCAGUGUACCCGCGGCAAGACGGAAAGACCCCGUGAACCUUUACUAUAGCUUGACACUGAACAUUGAGCCUUGAUGUGUAGGAUAGGUGGGAGGCUUUGAAGUGUGGACGCCAGUCUGCAUGGAGCCGGCCUUGAAAUACCACCCUUUAAUGUUUGAUGUUCUAACGUGGACCCGUGAUCCGGGUUGCGGACAGUGUCUGGUGGGUAGUUUGACUGGGGCGGUCUCCUCCUAAAGAGUAACGGAGGAGCACGAAGGUUGGCUAAUCCUGGUCGGACAUCAGGAGGUUAGUGCAAUGGCAUAAGCCAGCUUGACUGCGAGCGUGACGGCGCGAGCAGGUGCGAAAGCAGGUCAUAGUGAUCCGGUGGUUCUGAAUGGAAGGGCCAUCGCUCAACGGAUAAAAGGUACUCCGGGGAUAACAGGCUGAUACCGCCCAAGAGUUCAUAUCGACGGCGGUGUUUGGCACCUCGAUGUCGGCUCAUCACAUCCUGGGGCUGAAGUAGGUCCCAAGGGUAUGGCUGUUCGCCAUUUAAAGUGGUACGCGAGCUGGGUUUAGAACGUCGUGAGACAGUUCGGUCCCUAUCUGCCGUGGGCGCUGGAGAACUGAGGGGGGCUGCUCCUAGUACGAGAGGACCGGAGUGGACGCAUCACUGGUGUUCGGGUUGUCAUGCCAAUGGCACUGCCCGGUAGCUAAAUGCGGAAGAGAUAAGUGCUGAAAGCAUCUAAGCACGAAACUUGCCCCGAGAUGAGUUCUCCCUGAGACUUUAAGUCUCCUGAAGGAACGUUGAAGACGACGACGUUGAUAGGCCGGGUGUGUAAGCGCAGCGAUGCGUUGAGCUAACCGGUACUAAUGAACCGUGAGGCUUAACCUUACAACGCCGAAG
This 1686-nucleotide ribosomal RNA is filed under the name Salmonella enterica subsp. enterica serovar Schwarzengrund. RNAcentral's name for it is "partial 23S ribosomal RNA". It matches the Rfam family "Bacterial large subunit ribosomal RNA", at positions 1273 to 2925 of the family's 2925-position model. The record is from RNAcentral. Lineage: Bacteria; Pseudomonadati; Pseudomonadota; Gammaproteobacteria; Enterobacterales; Enterobacteriaceae.